RNAcentral lists this unclassified non-coding RNA (580 nucleotides) under Homo sapiens (human). RNAcentral describes it as "major histocompatibility complex, class II, DP alpha 1 (multiple genes)". Lineage: Eukaryota; Metazoa; Chordata; Mammalia; Primates; Hominidae. The record is from RNAcentral.
ACUCGGCCUCAGUUCCUCAUCACUGUUCCUGUGCUCACAGUCAUCAAUUAUAGACCCCACAACAUGCGCCCUGAAGACAGAAUGUUCCAUAUCAGAGCUGUGAUCUUGAGAGCCCUCUCCUUGGCUUUCCUGCUGAGUCUCCGAGGAGCUGGGGCCAUCAAGGGUGAGUGCUCAGGAGGACGCAGGAGCGUCGGGCGGACCAUGUGUCAACUUAUGCCGCGUUUGUACAGACGCAUAGACCAACAGGGGAGUUUAUGUUUGAAUUUGAUGAAGAUGAGAUGUUCUAUGUGGAUCUGGACAAGAAGGAGACCGUCUGGCAUCUGGAGGAGUUUGGCCAAGCCUUUUCCUUUGAGGCUCAGGGCGGGCUGGCUAACAUUGCUAUAUUGAACAACAACUUGAAUACCUUGAUCCAGCGUUCCAACCACACUCAGGCCACCAACGAUCCCCCUGAGGUGACCGUGUUUCCCAAGGAGCCUGUGGAGCUGGGCCAGCCCAACACCCUCAUCUGCCACAUUGACAAGUUCUUCCCACCAGUGCUCAACGUCACGUGGCUGUGCAACGGGGAGCUGGUCACUGAGGG